GACGAACGCUGGCGGCGUGCUUAACACAUGCAAGUCGAACGUGAUUUUUGUGGAAAUUCUUUCGGGAAUGGAAAUGAAAUGAAAGUGGCGAACGGGUGAGUAACACGUGAGCAACCUACCUUACACAGGGGGAUAGCCGUUGGAAACGACGAUUAAUACCGCAUGAGACCACAGAAUCGCAUGAUAUAGGGGUCAAAGAUUUAUCGGUGUAAGAAGGGCUCGCGUCUGAUUAGCUAGUUGGAAGGGUAAAGGCCUACCAAGGCGACGAUCAGUAGCCGGUCUGAGAGGAUGAACGGCCACAUUGGAACUGAGACACGGUCCAAACUCCUACGGGAGGCAGCAGUGGGGAAUAUUGCACAAUGGGGGGAACCCUGAUGCAGCGACGCCUCGUGAGCGAAGAAGGUUUUCGAAUCGUAAAGCUCUGUCCUAUGAGAAGAUAAUGACGGUAUCAUAGGAGGAAGCCCCGGCUAAAUACGUGCCAGCAGCCGCGGUAAUACGUAUUGGGCGAGCGUUGUCCGGAAUUAUUGGGCGUAAAGGGUACGUAGGCGGUUUUUUAAGUCAGGUGUGAAAGCGUGAGGCUUAACCUCAUUAAGCACUUGAAACUGGAAGACUUGAGUGAAGGAGAGGAAAGUGGAAUUCCUAGUGUAGCGGUGAAAUGCGUAGAUAUUAGGAGGAAUACCGGUGGCGAAGGCGACUUUCUGGACUUUUACUGACGCUCAGGUACGAAGCGUGGGGAGCAAACAGGAUUAUAUACCCUGGUAGUCCAAGGGCGAAUUCCACAGUGGAUAUCAAGCUUAUCUAUACCGUCGACCUCGAGGGGGGGGCCCGGUACCCAGCUUUUGUUCCCUUUGUGAGGGGUUAAUUAGCUUGGGGUUGAUUGCUGUGGUGUGUGUGAUUUGGUUUCUGUGUGUGUUUGUGUGUUGUGACUAUUUGUUGUGUUGUUGUGUGUGUGGUUGUGUUGUUUUGUGUUGUUUGUGUUUGUUGUGGAUUUGUAUGUGUGUUGUGUGUUGUGCUGUGUGUGAUUACUGAUGUGUUGUUGAUCAUGUGAUGUACUGUGUGUGUGUGAGUGUGUGUGUUGUUGGUAGUGUAGUAUGAUUAGUUAGUGAUUGUAAUGUGUGUGUCUGUGUGUGUGUGUUGAGGUGC
Molecule: ribosomal RNA, 1143 nt
Filed under: uncultured Parvimonas sp.
Lineage: Bacteria; Bacillati; Bacillota; Tissierellia; Tissierellales; Peptoniphilaceae
Description: bacterial SSU rRNA
Rfam family: Bacterial small subunit ribosomal RNA (bases 1-840)
Source: RNAcentral